Small nucleolar RNA from Camelus dromedarius (Arabian camel), 168 nucleotides. The record is from Ensembl. Lineage: Eukaryota; Metazoa; Chordata; Mammalia; Artiodactyla; Camelidae.
ACCUUCUUUUUUAAGCUCUGUGCUAAAAUAGCAGAAACUAGUAUCUGCAGUGUCUUAGUCCUUGUAAUAAAGCUGGCAGAGUAAACAAAGAGAAACACAACUGUACAGAUGGUAGAACAACCACAGGUAACUCCAAGGUGUUUUGUUCUAAGAUUUGGUACAAUCAUA